RNAcentral lists this transfer RNA (72 nucleotides) under Lecanorchis kiusiana. RNAcentral describes it as "tRNA-Asn". It matches the Rfam family "tRNA". Rfam says of the family: Transfer RNA (tRNA) molecules are approximately 80 nucleotides in length. Lineage: Eukaryota; Viridiplantae; Streptophyta; Magnoliopsida; Asparagales; Orchidaceae. The record is from RNAcentral.
UCCUCAGUAGCUCAGCGGUAGAGCGAUUGGCUGUUAACUAAAAGGUCGUAGGUUCGAAUCCUACCUGGGGAU